RNAcentral lists this long non-coding RNA (1262 nucleotides) under Oryctolagus cuniculus (rabbit). RNAcentral's name for it is "lncRNA (ENSOCUG00000036565.1)". The record is from RNAcentral. Lineage: Eukaryota; Metazoa; Chordata; Mammalia; Lagomorpha; Leporidae.
AUAUCAUUGGCAUUUUCAUAGGAAUUUCAGUAAUAGAUUUCUUUUGUCAGUAUGAUCAUUUAAAAACAUUUUUUAGAGGCAGAUAUUUUCUGUAGCAGUUAAGAUGUUGCUUGAGAUACCUGCCUCACAUAUCUGAAUGCCUGGAUUCCAGUCCUAGUGCUCUACUUCUGAUUUCAGCUUCCAGUUGAUGCAUACCCUGGGAGGAAGCAGGUGGGAUGGUUCAAGUGGUCAGGUCCUUGCCAUCCACCUGGGAGAUCCAGAUUGAGUUCUCAGCUCCUGGCUUCAACCUGGCUCAGUAAUGGUUGCAGGCAUUUGGGAAAUGAGCCAACCAAUGAGAGAUACCUUUCUUUAUUUCUAAAUAAAUAAGCAAAAAAGAGGCUGUGUGUGUGUGUGUGUGUGUGUGAGAGAGAGAGAGAGAGAGAGAGAGAGAGAGGUUUGAUAGUUUACCCCUAAACACCCACAAUAGCUAGGACUGAGUUAUGCUGCAGCCAGGAGCUGGGAAUUCAAUUUAGGUUUUCCAUAUGAGUGGCAAGAGCCCAAUUACUUGAGACAUCACUGCUGCCAUCCAGGUUCUGCACUAGUGGGAAGCUGGAUUCAGAAGCCUGUGUUGGGUAUCAAACUCAGUAUGGGAUUUGACAUCUUAACUGCUGGGGCAAACACCUGCCUCACCAUUUUAUUUUAUGAAGAGGACAAAAAUUUUAGUAGGGGAAAAGAAAAUGCAUGUAGUUUAAGUGCUGAGUUCAUUCAUGUGUUAGGAAUUUGAGAUAAGUAUUCUUGCACGUGUAAUUACGGAAUGACUUUUUCAUAAAGCUGUUUGACUCCUCAAGUUACUUUCCCUCUCUGUUGUUUUAAAUCACACAGUUUCUAACUGUACCGUUUGAGGUAAGUCAGCUUGAGCAUAUCCCGAAUUGCGCAUCUCUUCCCUCUCUUAUUCCCACUCUUAUAUUUAACAGCGAUCACUUUUCAAUUAAGUUUCAGCACUUAAGAAUAAUUGUGUAUUGAUUACAGUAUUCAACCAAAAGUAUUAAGUAGAACAAACAAAAAAAAAUAUACUAAGAGGGAUAACAUAUUAAGUUGUUCAUCAACAGUCAGGGUGAGGGCUGAUCAAGUGGGAUAUACCAAUGCCAUCUCACUAGUCCCAGUGAUCAAUUUCUGUUCACAAUUGAUCAUAAUGAUAGGACUAAGAACCAAAGGGAUCACAUAAACAAGAAUAGUGUCUGCAAAUACUAGCUGAUAGAAUAAAAAAGGGAGAGAACAAUCCA